This 82-nucleotide transfer RNA is filed under the name Pseudoclavibacter chungangensis. RNAcentral's name for it is "Pseudoclavibacter sp. CAU 59 tRNA". It matches the Rfam family "tRNA". From Rfam's summary of the family: Transfer RNA (tRNA) molecules are approximately 80 nucleotides in length. Their secondary structure includes four short double-helical elements and three loops (D, anti-codon, and T loops). Further hydrogen bonds mediate the characteristic L-shaped molecular structure. tRNAs have two regions of fundamental functional importance: the anti-codon, which is responsible for specific mRNA codon recognition, and the 3' end, to which the tRNAs corresponding amino acid is attached (by aminoacyl-tRNA synthetases). tRNAs cope with the degeneracy of the genetic code in two manners: having more than one tRNA (with a specific anti-codon) for a particular amino acid; and 'wobble' base-pairing, i.e. permitting non-standard base-pairing at the 3rd anti-codon position. The record is from Rfam by way of RNAcentral. Lineage: Bacteria; Bacillati; Actinomycetota; Actinomycetes; Micrococcales; Microbacteriaceae.
GCGGGCGUGGUGGAAUUGGCAGACACGCAGGAUUUAGGUUCCUGUGCUCACGAGCGUGAGGGUUCGAGUCCCUCCGCCCGCA